This is a ribosomal RNA of Sinocyclocheilus anshuiensis, 42 nucleotides long. Lineage: Eukaryota; Metazoa; Chordata; Actinopteri; Cypriniformes; Cyprinidae. The record is from Ensembl.
CCUGGUCAGUACCUGGAUGGGAGACCUCCUGGGAAAACUAGG